This 712-nucleotide ribosomal RNA is filed under the name uncultured Staphylococcus sp. Its description in RNAcentral is "bacterial SSU rRNA". It matches the Rfam family "Bacterial small subunit ribosomal RNA", at positions 1 to 714 of the family's 1533-position model. The record is from RNAcentral. Lineage: Bacteria; Bacillati; Bacillota; Bacilli; Caryophanales; Staphylococcaceae.
CGCCCUUAGAGUUUGAUCAUGGCUCAGGAUGAACGCUGGCGGCGUGCCUAAUACAUGCAAGUCGAGCGAAGAGAAGCUUGCUUCUCUUAGCGGCGGACGGGUGAGUAACACGUGGAUAACCUACCUAUAAGACUGGGAUAACUUCGGGAAACCGGAGCUAAUACCGGAUAAUAUUUUGACCGCAUGGUUCAAAAGGAAAGACGUCUUUGUCACUUAUAGAUGGAUCCGCGCUGCAUUAGCUAGUUGGUAAGGUAACGGCUUACCAAGGCAACGAUGCAUAGCCGACCUGAGAGGGUGAUCGGCCACACUGGAACUGAGACACGGUCCAGACUCCUACGGGAGGCAGCAGUAGGGAAUCUUCCGCAAUGGGCGAAAGCCUGACGGAGCAACGCCGCGUGAGUGAUGAAGGUCUUCGGAUCGUAAAACUCUGUUAUUAGGGAAGAACAUAUGUGUAGUAAUGCACAUCUUGACGGUACCUAAUCAGAAAGCCACGGCUAACUACGUGCCAGCAGCCGCGGUAAUACGUAGGUGGCAAGCGUUAUCCGGAAUUAUUGGGCGUAAAGCGCGCGUAGGCGGUUUUUUAAGUCUGAUGUGAAAGCCCACGGCUCAACCGUGGAGGGUCAUUGGAAACUGGAAAACUUGAGUGCAGAAGAGGAAAGUGGAAUUCCAUGUGUAGCGGUGAAAUGCGCAGAGAUAUGGAGGAACACCAGUG